Molecule: small nucleolar RNA, 113 nt
Organism: Oryctolagus cuniculus (rabbit)
Lineage: Eukaryota; Metazoa; Chordata; Mammalia; Lagomorpha; Leporidae
Source: Ensembl
UGGUCAUUACCAAGGCCUUUAGAACGCAAUUUCUCACUUGCUGUGGACAUGACCAUAAAAGAAAUUUCCCACCCUUUGCUACCUGGCUAGCAAUCAGCCUAUUGGGGACAUUU